CGUAGCACCUUAUUCCGUCAUAUUGUCUCUGGAUUAAAUGUAUUCCUAAUGUCACUUUUAUAAAGAAAUAAUAGUUAAAACUACAAUAUUAUUGUAAAUUUGCAAUAAUUGCAAAUUCCAAUUAUUGGAAGCUGCAAAAGGGACAUUAGAAUGUCAGCAAGAUCGGAACAAUUUUCGAUUUAAGUGGAAUUUACGGAAGGUGCAAAGAUUUGACCUCACAACUAAUCCGUAAAAUGAAGAAGCAACAUAUUUUGUUACCGCUUAGAAGAAACAAUAGAAAUAGUACUGUGGAUUGAUAAAUAAAGAGUGAAAAUAAGGUUGACUAGAAGUUGAUAAAGAAUAGAAGGAUAGUCCAAGGAAUUAAAAAACAAUAGAAAAAAAACGUAGACUAGUGUGAGCACUGAAAUUAGAGUUUGAUUUAAGCUUUAAUUAGGUUUGGUGUUUGUGCUUGAACAUUUUUAAUGUCAAUUUG
Long non-coding RNA from Pieris napi, 472 nucleotides. RefSeq lists it as uncharacterized. The record is from RefSeq and is a predicted model, not a curated record. The transcript has 2 exons. Lineage: Eukaryota; Metazoa; Arthropoda; Insecta; Lepidoptera; Pieridae.